GCUGUUUUUUGUUUGCUUGUAAGUUGUCUACUGAACAAUCAAAAUUUGUAUGAAAUAUUUUGCGAACUAUUGCGUUAUUUUCGUAACUCGUUCAAUCGAAAGUUAGUGUUUUUUGCGACCAAAUCUGUGGAUAUAAUCGAAAAAUUACAUAAAUUUUCAUAAAAAAAAAACUUUUAGUGAUUGCAUAAGUAUACCAAAUGUAUAUAAAACAUUAAAUAUAUUGAUAUGAAUAGUUGCAUACAUAUGUACAUAUAUUUUAGAAAGUUAAUAAGGUCCAUAAAUGCGAGCUUCAAAAAGUGGUUUUAGUCAAUUAGUUAGUAAUAGUCAACAGUUGCGCUUUUUAAAAUUAUAAUACAAAAUUCAAACUAAAAUAUUUUAUAUGUAUACAUAAAUAUUUAUGUAGUUAAAAUAAUUCCUUUAAAAGAUUAAAGUGACUCUUAUGCAUAGGCAUACAUACUAAACAGUGGAUGUAAACAAGUGUUUCUAAAGUGUCCUACGACAAGAACUUAGUAAGAGUCGAAUAUUUAUGUAUAUAAAUCCCUAGCUAAUUUAAAAAGUAAAACUAGUAGGCGUUUUCGUUAUAAAACUCAGGAUCUGGUAAAAAUUUCUUCCAUAAAAUUUUGUUAGUUAAGGAAAAAAUCGAGAUUUUCGAAAGGGUUUUUAAACGCAUUCCUUCAAUGUACUUGAAACUUUUUUUUUCGUUUCUUUGGAGCAAUCGAAAGAUUAAGCAAAUUCAAGAUUUUGUUCAAAUAUGCCGGCAAGAAUGAAACUUAAAAAACUACUUUACAUCUCAAUACUUUUAAAUACUCGAUUCAAGUCAAAUCGACUCAUUGACGUUUCAGGUUUCCCCGUAUAAACUAGUUAAUUGUGGGGAAAACAUCAAUUAUGAAAAAUACUAAAGAUCAUUUAAGAAUUGUAUCUGUAAACAUCUCAGUACGGCUUGACAAAGCAUUAGGCGUUUCACUUACAUAUGUAUAUACAUAUCUAAUUAAGUUAAAUUAGAAGCAAAACAUUAUUAGUCUCAUUAGACUUGACCCCUUCCUGUUUGAGUCGCGUAGACUAAACUGCCGUCGUUUUUAGAAGGAAUUCGCUUUCUUAUAUGCAGGGCGUACUCUUAUCGUCGUUUUAAGUACUACAAAACCACGUAUCAAGAUAAUGCAAAACCGCUUACGUGAGGUUGCCAAAAUUGUACAGUAACAACUCUCUUUUAUUUAAAACAUUUCUCUCUUUUAUUUAAAACAUUUCUCUCUUUUAUAAAGCAAACCCCUUUCAGGCUAGUUUUAUAAAUCGAUAACAAUCGAUCAAUUACGCGCCUUUGCAGAAUGACGAUACGCGGUUUGUACUUUAAACGACGAUGUGUGUAUAGGUACAUACCUACUAAAAUAUGAAAAACUUAGCUCCGUAAAAACAUAAAGCUACUAAGGAUCCCAUAUAUCGUCUGGUAUACAAAUCUAUUAUUAUAAAUCUAACCGAGGCGACCGGUAUGGUAUGCCAUUGUCGUUGGGUGUAUAUAUUUUCAAAAGCUUUAUAAAAAUGUCAUAAUUCCUUUGAUUGUCGAAAUAUUUAUACACAUACCGCAUAUCAAAAUAACGCGAGAAUAUCAUCUCACACGAGGACUAAAUUGGUUUCACAUUUCUAAAAGGAAUAAGAGAUUUAGGAGACAACAUCAAUAACACUGAUCUACAAAGAGCGGAAGAGGUUUCGGGAGCUGAUUUCUAAAAGACUUUUGUUUUCUUAGUAUCAGAAUAUAAAAUUAAAAUUAUAUAGUUUGAAUAUAUCAGCAAAAGACAAACAUAAAAUGUUUUCAUAGAAUUAUGUUAAUUAAAAUAAUUAAAUUUUUGAUGCUACGAACGAAUGUCUAAAAAAAGCGCUUGGAUAUGAUGUAAAUCAUCUCAUGUUAAUAACCUAAGCUUAUAAAAAGAAAAUCGAAAUUAUUUAAUACUUUCACUUCUUCAAUUAGUUAGGAAUUUUCAUAACGUUUGAUCAAUGCACGAAAGUGGAAUAUAAUAAAACAACAAAUAAUAAAAACGUUAUAAUUUUUAAAAACUUGUUACUUAUUCUUCCGGUUUUGGAACUUACUUUAUUUUACUUUUGGGGUAAACAUCCAAAGAUAAAGCUUCUUUUUCGGCUAUUUAAAAGUCGAAAUUGUGCCUUGUUAUACUACUAUGAAUAAUUUGAAGAUCAGACCCUGAUGGAAAAAAUGCUAUAAGAAUCGGUGACUAAUAGUUAACCCGCUAGAAGUUAAGAUAUUUGAAAGCGGCUGUGGGAUAAGACAAGAAAAAUUAUUUUUUGUAUAUUAAUUUAAUUAUUGUAUUGGAAUCAGCUUACUUGAUUUAUGUUAGAAUAUAAGUAAAUACAACUUAUUAGAAAAUAUUUUAGUUGGUAAACUGUGCUAAUACAAACGUAUGUAUAUUAUGUUAGUAAUCAAUAAAUAAAUAAAUUGUACCUUAAAAGGUCCAACUUCAACAAAACAAGUGCAUAUGUAUGUAUAUUGUGUUAUCUGUGAUUAACUAUUUGAAUACCUGUAGGCCUUAUGGGGCAUAUUCAUAGCCGAAGUAAAGUCGAUUUUAAAGUAACUUGCAGCUUGUUUGACACAUAGUGCAUUGAAAAUUAUGGCAAAAACUAUCUAACUGUAGUGUCGACUUUAUUUUGACUAUGAAUACGCCCCAAUGUAUUUGAUUACACUGUCCGAAAUGGCAACCAUUUUUAGCUUAAUGCCAGUUUUUAGAUUUUUUUUAGACUUCCUUGUCAGGAAUUUUGUAAUUAUUUAACACGUAGUUUAUGCGUACUGGGUAAAAGUCGCGCUCUGGAUGCCCAAGUAAAUUGAGACAGCGAGGAAGGCGUUUGUUUUGCAGUCCGUACAGGUAAAUCCACAGAUCAAAAGUCGCCAAAGAUGUCGAUGAAAUACAUAUAUUUGGUUAGUUCUGGUUACGGAGAUCCAGCUGUCGUGGAAACGAUUCAAGCUGAUCAGCAGAGCUCGGAUUUCGAUGCAAUGCCAUCUUUUUUCUGAAGCUUCGAAGGCGUUUCCUUGUUAUAUAGAAGUUCAAUUCGUACGUUUUUAUAUAUCUUCUUUCUAAUAUCCGGACUUGGCGGGAAAAGUGCGCAUAAAGAGUAGCUUAUAUUUCGUAGCAGCUUGGACUCAGUGAUCACAUUGUCGUACACUCAUUUUCUUGAGGAAGCAAAA
Long non-coding RNA from Rhagoletis zephyria (snowberry fruit fly), 3184 nucleotides. RefSeq lists it as uncharacterized. Lineage: Eukaryota; Metazoa; Arthropoda; Insecta; Diptera; Tephritidae. The record is from RefSeq and is a predicted model, not a curated record.